This 493-nucleotide ribosomal RNA is filed under the name uncultured bacterium. RNAcentral describes it as "partial 16S ribosomal RNA". It matches the Rfam family "Bacterial small subunit ribosomal RNA", at positions 29 to 523 of the family's 1533-position model. The record is from RNAcentral.
AUUGAACGCUGGCGGCAUGCUUUACACAUGCAAGUCGAACGGUAACAGGUUAAGCUGACGAGUGGCGAACGGGUGAGUAAUGCAUCGGAGCGUGCCCGGUCGUGGGGGAUAACGCAGCGAAAGCUGCGCUAAUACCGCAUACGAUCUAAGGAUGAAAACGGGGGACCGUAAGGCCUCGCGCGAUCGGAGCGGCCGAUGUCAGAUUAGGUAGUUGGUGGGGUAAAGGCUCACCAAGCCAACGAUCGGUAGCUGGUCUGAGAGGACGACCAGCCACACUGGGACUGAGACACGGCCCAGACUCCUACGGGAGGCAGCAGUGGGGAAUUUUGGACAAUGGGCGAAAGCCUGAUCCAGCAAUGCCGCGUGCAGGAAGAAGGCCUUCGGGUUGUAAACUGCUUUUGUACGGAGCGAAAAGGUCUCCUCUAAUACAGGGGGCUCAUGACGGUACCGUAAGAAUAAGCACCGGCUAACUACGUGCCAGCAGCCGCAGUAC